Molecule: long non-coding RNA, 42560 nt
Filed under: Gossypium barbadense (sea-island cotton)
Lineage: Eukaryota; Viridiplantae; Streptophyta; Magnoliopsida; Malvales; Malvaceae
Description: long non-coding RNA (GBAR_LNC013164)
Source: RNAcentral
CAGGAAAGAAUUCAUUUACGUGGUUUGGUCCAAGACCAAGGGUGAACAUUACGGACCCUGAAAAAAUAAGAGAAAUACUUAACAAAUUUAAUGACUUCCAGAAGAUACGUACCAAUCCUCUGCUUAAUUUGCUUGUAAGCGGCCUUGUUAACCUCGAAGGAGACCGAUGGAGCAAGCGUAGAAAAAUCAUAAACCCUGCAUUUCAUCAAGAUAAGUUGAAGGUAUAGAAUAGUGAUGGGUAAUCAGACUUUACAGAAAACAUCAUACUUAAACCAAUGCUUUUCUGAUUUAGAAAUAAUUGGAUGCAGAAUAUGUUGCCAGCAUUUUAUCAAAGUUGUAGUGACAUGUUAAGCAAAUGGGAGAAGAUGGUGUGUACAGAAGGAUACAGUGAGUUAGAUGUGAGGCCUUAUCUCGUAGAUUUGACAAGAGAUGUGAUUUCCCGAUCUGCUUUUGGAAGCAGCUUCGAAGAAGGCAAACGAAUUUUCCAAUUACUAGAGGACCAACUCGUUCUCACAAUCAAAUUAAUACAAACUGUUUACAUUCCAGGAUGGAGGUAACCGUCAACUUAAUUUACUUGAAAAAGGUUGCAAAUCUUGGAAUUGGCUAAAUUCGUGUUUGUUUUCUUGAAGGUUUUUGCCAACGAAGACAAACAGGGAGAUGAAGAUGAAACACAGAGACAUAAAAGAGUCGCUUAGGGAAAUGAUAAAGAGAAGGGAGAAGGCAAUUAAAGCAGGGGAAGAGAGCAAUGAGGACUUGUUGGACAUACUUGUGGAAUCCAAUAUCAGAGAAAUGGAAGCAAAGAAUAUGGGGAUGAGCAUUGAGGAUGUGAUUGAGGAAUGCAAGCUGUUUUACUUUGCUGGCCAAGAGACCACUUCGGUCUUACUGGUGUGGACUAUGGUUUUAUUAGCAAGGUAUCCCGAUUGGCAAAGUAAAGCAAGAGAGGAGGUUUUGCAUGUUUUGGGUGACAAUAAACCUGAUGCUGAUGGCCUUAAUCGUCUCAAAGUUGUAAGUCCCUAGCAUGUCUUUUGAAGGUCCGAUCAAUGAGGUCGACAACUCAAAAACUUUGUUUCUUUUUUCGCUAAUUCUACAGGUAACGAUGAUAUUGUACGAGGUUCUAAGGCUGUACCCACCGGUGGUUGAGCUAGGACGUUCCGUUCCAAAAGAAAUAAAACUGGGGAAUUUGUUGUUACCAGUAGGAACAGAAGUUUCGGUUCCGAUCCUGCAGAUCCACCAUGACAAAGAUCUUUGGGGUAACGACGCACGGGAAUUUAAGCCAGAGCGGUUCGCGGAAGGGGUUUCCAAAGCAACAAAGAGUCAAGUCACGUUUCUGCCAUUCGGAUGGGGUCCUAGGAUCUGUAUUGGCCAAAAUUUUGCUUUGAUGGAAGCCAAAAUGGCGAUGGCUAUGAUUCUCCAACGCUUCUGGUUCGAGCUUUCCCCUUCCUAUGCUCACUCUCCUUACAGCAGGGGAACUCUUCGUCCACAGCAUGGUGCACAGAUAAUUUUACAUAAACUUGGCUGUAAUUGAAUUGUUAUGUAAACAAAUCUUUGUGAAAACAUAGCGUUUUAGUGUAUCGUCAAAGUCCGGUGUCUGUAAUGGUACAAAUUCGAUGCAUGAAUAGUAAAUUUUGAGAUGUUUGGUGAAGUCCGAAAUAAUAUGCAGAAAUUGAGCGUCUAUGGUGGACAUAGUUGAGGGACUAAUGUGGUAAUUAUCAAUCAAAUAAUUCGGUACAAAGACUUGUAUGGAAAUUAAAGCAGGGGGAGUUGAAAAUGACUACUCUGCUUUGGGCAUCAAUUUAGAAAGAUUUAAAGUACAACUGUGUUAUCAGUUAAGGGAUUUGUUUUAAAGAGGGAAUGACAAUUAAACCUCAUGGUUUAUUUGUGCAAGGGAACCGAUGAUGGGAUGAUUAUUCUUAGUGGUAAAAAAAACCAUUAUGGAGGUUAUUACACUUGUUAUCAUCAGCUUAAAAUUCGAAUGGGUUCAAGUCGGAUUAUAUCGAGCUUGUAAGAUGAGUUCACGGACCAAGUUUGCAUAAUAAAAUACCUAAAUGAAAAAAAAUUCUAUUUUAGAGGGACGAGAGCCCCUAUCAACUCCCGGCUCAGCCACUAAACAAUACCUAUAUCAUAUAAAUAAAUACCACCAUCUAAAAGACUCAAAGAAAAACACUCAACAAAGGAUAAAUAGAUAGAUGUUGGAUAAGUGUCCAAAAUAUGAUUUAAGUGAAGAUACAUGUGGUAGGUGUUACGGAAAUGUGAAGACAAGAAUCCCACUAACGUAUGGGAUGUGUGCAGUUGAAUGUAGGGAGCAAAAAGAGGAGUGAAUCAUUUUGGUAACAUUUGGACAAGAAACAUAAUGAACAAAAUGGAAGGAGAGGAAGCUAGUAAAAGAAUUUUUUUGGGUCAUAUAAUUUGUUCAUUUUGGAGUUGAAUUAUAAUUUUUUUAUAUAUUAUUUUAAAAUUUUAAGGAGUUAAAACAAAAUUAUUUUAUUUUCAGAUGGUCAAAGUAGAGGUGAUAAUGGGUUGGGCUAUUCGGCCCGGCCUGACGAUUCACUCGAAAAAUAGGAGGGUUUAGGUAAAAAUAUAGGCUCGAAAUAGGGAUUUGAGCAAAAAAAGAGUCCCGUUUAGAAAAUGGGCCAGGCCUCGGGUAAAAUUUUUUGGGCCCAAGCCUGACCUGAAUUAUAUAUUAAAUAUAUUUUUUAAUUUUUAAUCAAAUAUACUUUUUUUUAUUAAUUUGGUUAUUAUUUUAGUUCUAAUUUGUUUCAAUUUUAAUAUAACCACUUUUUAUUAUAUUUUCAAUUUGUGUAUUGUUUUAAGAAUUGUUUUAGUCUCAUUUUUUUAUUUAUUUUUUGUUUUAAUAAUUGUUUUAAAAAUUUUUAUUUAAUGAAAUAAGCUAAAAAAAUUAAUAUGGGCUUGGCCAGGCCAGGCUCGGGCCUAGUAAUUUUCUUUUGGGCCGGACUUAGAUAAAAUUUUAAGCCCAUAUUUUAAAUUGGGUCCUAACCUAAAAAAUGAACCUAAAAUUUUAUAUGGGCCCGACUUGGCCCUUGAUUACCUUUAGGUCAGAGCUAUCCUCGUUUUGCAUUUCUUUGAGAUUCAGCCUUAUCUACUGUGAUUGCCCACUCAAUUGAGGGUUGAGUAGAAAGAUUUGGUGAAGCAAGCUAAGCUAUCAAUCAAGGUUUGCAUAAUUAUUUAAAUGUAAUUCUAAUAUUAAAAUAAUUUUUUUAUUAAUAUAGUAUCAACAAGCAUUAAAUGUAAUGAUCAUAUACUAUUACAUUUUAAAGAAGAGAAAACAUGUUUGAACUUUAAAAACCACGUUACUAAAAACAUUAUCACAAACCUUGAAAUAUAAAAAAUAAUUUUUUUAAUAUAAUAAAAAAUUAAUUUUAAACCCGAGCUGAAUAAAAUUCUAAUUUUAGUUAAUGAUACGAACAACAAAUCAAUAUUCUAAGCCCGAGCCCUGCUCAUUUUUUUAAUAAACACCAAAAAUUUAUUUUGAAAAUAAAAAAUAAAAAAAAUAUUUUAAAAAUAUUUUAAAAAUAAAAAAAAUUAAAAAUAAAUAUUUAUUAUAUAUUCAGGCCGGGCCGGGCUAGCCUUGGGCUAAAAAAAUGGUGCCCGAGGCCCGGCCCAUUUUCUAAAUAGGCCUCAUUUUUUGUCCAAACCCAUAUUUUGGGCCUAUAUUUUUACCCGAACCUCUCAUAUUUUGGGCGGACCGUCGGGCCGGACCGGGCCGCCCGGCCAUGAACACCUCUAGGGCAAAGUCACUCAAUGAAUGCAUGGAAAGAAAUAUUGCAACUUGGUGACAGCUUUUGUUGGAGUUAUAUGCUUUUUUUUACAUAGUGGAACUUUCGGUGGAUUUUCAAGUUUCAUGAACUUUAUACCCUAGGCUUUACGUGAAAAAAAUCAUUGGACUUAAAAGUCUACCAAAAGUUUCACUAUAAUAAAUAAAUAAAUAAAUAACAUUGCUACAAGACUACAACAUAAAGUUACAAUAAGAGCUUAUAACUCAACAAAGGCUAUCAAUAAAUAAUCUCAAGCAAGCUAAAGAGAAAUGUUGAGAGUACCACUCAAAUAGUGAUUGACUUUAAAAAUUGAAAACCCGAAGUUAUUGUUGACACCAUUUUUUGGAUGAAAAUGUGUCGACUUGGGUUUUGAAAAUGAAAACGAAAACGAGAGUCGCCACCAAUCCUUUUUGAUAAGGUGUGACUGGGUCACCUUGAAAAGUGGUUGUUUUUAAUAAACGAUUUGAUUUUAUUAAAACAACAGUUUUGGUCCACGAAAUUCAGAAAAAUGAGUUCGGGAGUCGGUUACGCACGAGGAAGGAUUAGCACCCUCGAUACGCCCAAAAUUGGUACCUAGUUGAUUACUUAAUGUCUUAAUGUCGAAAAUUGAAAACUUUGGAGAAUUUUAAACAUACGAUCCUUGUAUUAAAACGUUAAAAAUUUUCAAGAAAAUGGGAUAUUUCACGUUAUUCGAUAAAGAGAAUCAUAUCCUAGUAAGUUAGGACACAAUAUCUCGAAUUUCCGAUAUCAUUUAAAACUUGAGUUUGAAAAGAUUCGUGUAAUAAAGUUUAAAAUAAUAUUCAAUUGUUUAAAUCAAAUGAAGAAAUCGCAACCCAAUACGUUAGGGCACAAUUUCUCAAAAUAUUAAACAUUGAAUAUUGCAUUUAUUUCGAAAAAUCCUCAUCUCGAGAAAACGUGUCACAUCCAAUGCAUUAGAAUACAACGUAUUGAAUUCUCGAUAACGAGCUUUUUCUCAUUUUUUAAAAGAGUAAUCUCGAUUAUUUAGGUUCAACGAAGAAAAUCAAAACCCAAUACGUUAGGGCUCGAUUUUCUCAAAGAUUCCAAAUACCGAGUAUUACUUAUAUUUUUAAAAUUUCUUUUUUGAAAUCCGAGUAAAAAUGAAUGCAAAAUAAUAAAUGAUGACAAUGUAAAUAAAAUGAUACAAGCAAAACAAUAAACAAUAAAAAUAAUCAUACGGGCAAGGUAACAAAUAAUUAGGAACUAAAGAAAGAGAACAAACAAUAAUAAACAUGCAAAUAAAUGAACAAAAUUAACAACAUGAUGCAAAUAUGAAAGAUAUAUAAGCACAUAUAUAUACAUAAAAUAAUGAGAAUAUGAAAAAAUGUGUGUAAUUGGACAUGUUUCGGAAUUAUUAUACAUUUAAAAAUCAUGUAAAUGUGUGUACAUACAUAUAUACAUAUAUAAUAAUCAUUAAAUAUAUAAAAAUACAUAUGUGUAGGUAUAUAUGAGUCAUAAAAUGUAAAGAAUAUAUACAAGAUAUAUUUUGAACGUAUAAAGUAUAUGUAAAUGUAUAUAUAUAAUAAAGGUGUAUGAAAGCAUAUUUUAUAUACGUGUAUUUAUAAAAUGUAUAUAAAUGUAUAUUGAUUUACCAAUACAUAUGGAUUUAUAAUUAUAGAAUAUAUAUAAAAUAUUUACAUAUAUACGUUUAUGCAUAUAUAAAAGUAAGUUAUUAUAAAAUAUGAGCAAGCAGAAUACAUAAAUAUAUAUACAUAAAAUAAAAAUGAAGAUGAAAAUAAUAUAAAACUACUUAAUAUAUUAAUAUAAUAGUAACAAAUUAAAAAAACAGAAAAUAAAGCUAAUAAUAAUUAAUAAUAGUAGUAAUAAUUAUAGCAGCAAUGAUAAUGAUAAUAAUAAUAACACUAAAAAAAUUAAUUAAAUAAUAAAAUUGCUAAAAAGGGAUUAAAUCGAAAUAAAAACAUAAAUACUGGGCGAUUUUGAAAUAAAAAACGGGAAGGACCGAAUUGCAACGCGCGUUGAAAAGGAAAGGGCCAAAACUGCAAAUAAACCACAGCCCCAAAACGCAGCGUUGAAAUGGACCAAGUCGAAAUAAAAAUAAAAUUGCAGGGGCUAAAUUAAAAAUAAGAGAAAAUAACGAAAAAUGAUCAAAUUGUAAUACGCUGCAAAAUCAGGGGGACUGCACGCGCAAAUAGCCCAAAAACUGAAAACACGCGGAUCCUCCGGGUCGGGUCGGGUCGGGUCAGGUCGACGUGCGGAUCCCCUUUGCUAAAACGGCGUCGUUUCAUGUUUAAUAUAAAUACUAAAAAAAGCUAAAAAAAACAGUUUCAUCUUUUUUUAAAAAAAACAGAGAGAAAACUCUCUCUUUUUCCCUCAGGUCCGGCCAUGGUCCGGCUUGGGAUUUCCGACGAGUCUCCGCCGCAAAGCCACCGUGUGUGGCGGCCGGAGGUUCAAAAUCAGACCUUUUUGGUCCUUUUUUAAAGUCCAUGGCCUCCAAGCCACAGAUCCGGGGCUGAAUCUCCUGAAUCGAAAGCCGAAGACCCAAAAAAUGGGGUGAAAUCCUUCGCCUUCCUCCCCCUUCCGGCGCUGCGCAGGUAAGGUUUUUUUUAACUCCUUUUUUACUAUCUUUAUUUAUAUAUAUACAUGAAGAGAAAAGAGAGCAAAAUAAAUAAAUAAAUAAAAACUUCAAAACUGAAGAGAAAAAGACCUUGAAUCUGCCUUAUUUAUUUUCUUUCGGUUGAAUCUGUUUUUGUUUGUUACAAAAGUUUCCAGGGAAGAGAAAAAAAAAGAGAGUUACAUGCUUGGCUUUUAUAGCCGAUAUUAAUUUCUAUUUUUUGUUUUCUUUUUCCUUUCUUUUCUUUGGCUGUUGCGUGUUUGCUUCCUUAUUGCAGGGUGAUUGACGGGAGUGGUUGGCGACAGAGUCGGUGGCCACUUGCACUGAUGAAGCAGCGGUGGCGGCGCUAGGGUAGGCUAGGGACGGCGGCAGUACUAGGGUUUCAGAAAACUGAAACCCUAGUUUGACAAAUUGGUUUCGGGCCUGUUGGGCUUUAAAUUAUGGGCUUUGUAAUUGGGUUUUGGGUUUAGGUGAUUUGGGUUUAGGUGGUAUGGGCCCGGGUCAAAUUUUGGGUAAUGGGAUUGGGGCAAAAUUGGGUUGUACAGUUAUAAUAUCCCAAACGAAAUCAAACUAUAAACAUUAAAUUUUUCGAGUCUUCUAGAUACUGUAAAAAAUUCAGCUCCAACGGACACCAAAUGAACCUAUGAUCGAAGAAAAUACGAAGACUAGUCUGGCUAAAUCAAUCUGCCAAACUUACUUUUUAUCUUAUCUUUAAUUUGCUGUGAAAUUCAAAACUACGUGUAAUACUCAAUUUAUGCUCGACCCAUUUUGUUAAAACAAAUAAAAAAGAAAAGAAAAACAAAAUAUUUAAAUUUAGCCCAAAUGUCCAUUUACACAGCCCAAUUACAAUUGCAAAUAAAAAAAACUAAAACUAAACCCGAUCCUAAGCAUCAGCCCAAAUUCGACCCAUGCCCAAAACGAAUUCAGAUGCAGAAACCCUAGCCCAGCCUUAAUGCAAGCAAAAGUCGAAAGCCCUAAUAGUUGGUGCGCCGCUCCUGUAACAGCCCGAUUUUGGGCCUAGUCGGAACAGUGGUUUUGGGACCACAAAUCCGACGAGAAAAAAAUGUAAUGGCCCGAAUUUUCAGAGGUGUCAGAACGGUGAUUCGAGAUCACUAAAUUCGACAAAUGGGUAGAAAAUAUUAUUAAUUUAGUAAGUAUAAGUUAAAUGUGAAGUUAGGAAAAUUUUUGAAAUGGUGAAUAGUACACUAGAAAUAAAUAUUAAAAUAAUUAGAAUCGAAAAUGAGGUAUCGAGACCUCGGGGAUUUUAAACCGAGCCAUAAAUAUUUUUAUAAAUAUUUAUGUAGUCUUAAAAAGUUAGUAUUAAAGUUUCGUUAAGAAAUUUUAAAGUUCCGAUAAUUAAUUGAACAAAAAGGACUAAAUUGUAACAAAUACAAAAUUAUGAGAAAUGAUUAAAUAGUUUAAAUGAUAAAAGGAAGAGGGCUUAAAAGGUAAAUAGACCCAAGGUCUAUUUGGGCUGCACGGCAAAGGCAUGAAAUCAGCAACAAAGUAAGGAGAAUUAAGGGCAAAAUUGGAAUAUUGCAAAAUUUACUUAAUAAAGUUAGGACCAAAGUGGAAUUAUCUAGAUUUCUCUUUAUUUUUCUGCAUUAUCAUCAGCAUAAACACCAUAGAAGGGUUUUCUUAAGCUGGUUCUUCCUAUUUUUACUGCAGGUAAGUUCAAUUCUUGAUUAUUUCUUGAAAAUUUUGUGUUUUUGUGACUUUUACAACUAGGCCCACUUAUUGUAUUCAUUAGUUUUUGAUUCUAUGAAAGAAGUUGAAAGUUGCUAUGAAUACAUGCUGGAAGUAUAUGAUGAUUUAGCAUGGAAUUAGAGCUUUAAAUUGUUCAUAUGCUGAUUUAUUGAAAGAAUUGAAUAGAAAGUGAAUGUUUGGGACCUAAUAGUAAAAGAGUUUGAAGAUAGAGUUAUAUGUGGAAAUUCUGAAUUUCAAUAGUUGUGAAACAACUUAUAAUGUCUAGGUUAAGUAUUAAUUGAGAAAAUUAAAUUAAUUGAGGGGUUAAUUGAGAAAGGACCGAAUUGUAUAAACUGUGAAAUUUGGGGCAAAAAGGAAAUCAACAUUUUACACUAAAGCAGUUUUGGACAGCAGCAGUAGUAUAACUUUGAAAAAUCACCAAAAAUUUUGAGAAUUGAAUUAGAGGGUGAAUAAAAUAUAAAAUUAAAGCUCCUUGAAUCUAGUUUCUCAUAGAAGAAACGGUGUAAGCAAUGGAAUUGUAAAUCAUGAGAUAUAAUAAAUUUUGUGAGACAAUGUCAUAAUGAUUUCGGGUUCCCCUAUUCUGACUUUGGAAAAUCAUCAAAAAAUUAAGAAAAAUAUGAGUUAUAAUUUAUAUGAUUACAAUCCUUAAUGAGUCUAUUUUCAAAGAAAAUAAACGGAAAUAUCAUCCAAAUUCUGUACAAUUAUAUAAUUCAUUUUUAGUGAAGAGUGGUCGAAACUGUCAGACAGCGAAAUAGGGGGAACUUUAAAGAAUAAACUGUACUAUUUGGCUGAACCAAAAAUUCUGAAAAUUUUAUGGUAAGAAGGUAUGUGAGUCUAGUUUUAAGGAAAAUUAACGGAUCUUAAUUUAGAGCUCUGUAGCUCUAGAUAAAAAUAAUUUAGUGACUCUGACUCAGAUAAAUAGCUUUGAAUGUACAUGUGAGUGAAUAGUGAAAUUAUAGCUAGUGUUGUUUAAGUGUGUUAUACACAUUAAGGAUAUGGAAUGGAGAGGAGGAGGAGGAGGAAAAAUUGGGAAAUAUAUGAAUGAUUUGUGUAUAAUUGGUCAUAUGCUUAAUUAUAAUUGAUAAACGAUGAAAUAGAAAUGAUGCAUAUAUUUGUGCAGUAUUGGUCAUGGUUUAAGCUCAUGUGGGAAAAUAAAGUUUAUAGUACGUGUGUAUUAUAUUUUUGGUAUAUGAUUUGGCAUUAAGUAAUGUCGUGAAUGGAUAUUGAAUUAACACAUGUUGGAAAGUUUGAUAUAUGAAUAAAUAUUGUGAUCAUGAAAGAGUGUUACAGCUCCUGCCUUCAGCACGCGUCGAGCCUCCGCGCCAAAUCCACGUGAGCCUCCGUACACUCCAACUAGCCUCCGUACCUGCAACAAACAAAAGUAGACAAAACAACAGCAAAGGAUAGGAAGAAAAGGCAGUAAAUAGUGAAGAUUUUUCUGUAAUUUUCUUUGGAUUUCAUUAUGUAUUUUCGGCUAUAAAAGAGCCAUUAGGAAUAUUUGUAAAGGGUUUUUUUUUUACCCUCACACACAAAGAGAAUAUACACGCAUACAAGAUCAAUAUAGAGAAAGAAAUAAAAAUAAAUAAAUACAAAGAAUAGAAAAUCAAGUUUCGAAGGUGAUUCUUUGAAAAAUCCUUUUCGUUUUUCUCAUUUUUCCUUUUUCCUGGAUCUUUUGUUCAUUUCAAGUAAAAAAAGUAUAGAAAGGAAACAAGUUUAGAGGAAGGAGGUUUACCUGGACGCCGGACCUCGCUCGCCUCGUCGAAAUCGAAGGCUGAGAGGGGAUAAAUCGGUUUUGCGGCAGAAGGAAAGGGGGGCUAGGGUUCUUGUUUUAACUUUUUUAAAAAAAAUAGAAAAGGUUGCUAAUUAGGUUUUAAUGGGGGAUUUAUGUGUGUUAAAAAAACGACGUCGUUUAGCGACCUUUGACCCGUGCGGUGACCCGACCCGAGGAAAGGAUCUGCGCGUUUUGGGUCUGAUGGGUUUAUUGCGCAACAAGCCCUUCCGCAUUUGUUUUUCGUUUCAAUUCGGUUUUUAUUUGUUUUUUAAUUGUUUUCUCAUAUUUAGUUCCAAUUUCAAUUGGGUCCAUGAUUAAACGACAUCGUUUUCAUUGAUUGGGUUUGAAGGCCUGGUUUUGUGCGUCUAAAUUGCAGCAAUGGUCCCCCUGAUGUGCAAUAGUUCUCGAUUUAGUCGUCUCCACACUUAUUUCAAAGUCGUCCUUGAGAUUUUGUUUUAUUUUUGAAAUUGUCCUUGUCUUCUUUUAAUUUAUAAUGAUAUUAUUAUUAUUGUUGUUGUUAUUAUUACUAUUAAUAUGGGUAUUGUUAUCAUGUUAGUUUAUAUCUAUUUAUUUACUUUUAUUUUAUUAUGUAUUAUUAUAUAAUGCUUUUAUCAUGUAUCAUUUUAUAUAUUUUCUAUGUUAAUCUAAUAUGAUAUAUAUAUAUAUAUGUAUUUUUGUGAUCUUAUUUUAUAAUACUUUUUUAACCCAUUUAUAUGCCUUUAUGUUUUAAAGAUUUAUAAUAUUUUGUGCAAAACUAUUAUAUAUAUAUAUAGAUAUACAAUUUAUAUUAGACCAUUUUUAUCGUACAUAUACGUAUAUAUAAUUUAUAUUUUGAAACUCUAUUUUAUUAUAUUUUAUGCCUCUAUAUACAUCAUUAUAUGUUUAUUAUUCUUUAUAUUAAACCUGCCAUUUCACUUAUAUAUUUUUAAAACCAAUGUGUAUUAUUCUUUCUUCUUUGUUAUUUUUUAUCUCUUAAAAUAGAUUGAUAAUUCAUUUAAUUUUUGAAUGUUGUAUGACCGAGAUUAUCGUUGCCAUUCUUGUCCAAAUUUAUCCAUUGCUUGUUCAUAUUAUUUGAUAAUUUAUCGCUCACUAGCAUGUAUCGUAAUUUACGAAUUAUCAUUUUGAAUUAUGUACUACCAUUCAAUCGCAUUACAUUUGUUUGGAAAACAUCGAAAUCGUUUUGCACAUAAACCUUCAAAAUGCUUGGUAUCCAAAAUUCUCGAGAGGAUUGUGCCCUAAUUUAUUGGGCUUCAAUUCCCCUUUUUGAUUUUAAAUAACCGAAUACCCCUUUUUCAAUUUGAACAUAGAAAUUCCAAAAUAAAAAAAAACUCAUUCUCGGGAAUUUGAUGCGUUGUGUCCUAACGUAUUGUAUAUGACAUAUUUUUCUCGAGACGAGGAUUUUUCUAACAAAUAAAAAUAAAGGCAAUAUUCGAUAUUUAGGAAUUUUGUGAAAUCGAACCCUAACUUACUGGGUUUUGAUUUUUUCAUUUGACCCAAGUAGGAUAUCCUUCACAAAUGCACAGAUUUUAAAAAAUCAAAAGAUAAACUUAAUUUCGAGGAUUUAAAAUGUUACACUCUGACUUACUGAGUGUGUCAAUUUAUUUCUUUGAAAUAAGUGAGUCUUAUCAUCCAAUUUAUUUUAUUCAAAUUUUCUUUUCCAAGGAUCGUAUUUUAAAAUUUUUUCAAAAUUUCGACAUUAAGACAUUAAGCAAUCAAUUCAGUACCAAUUUUGGGCGUCACGAGGGUGCUAACUCUUCCUCGUGCGUAAUCGACUCCCGAACCAGUUUUCUCAAAAUUCACAGACCUAAAAUUAUUUUCAAGGUGAUCCGAUCACACCACAAUAAAAGAUCAGUGGUGACUCCCAUUCCUAUUUUUAAAAGUCGAUUCCUGUUUUUCAUAUAUAAAAAAAUGGUUUCGACACUACGGUUUUGUUUGUUUCCCUUAGAACAACUUUCAAAAAGUUAAUUUUGAAAAAUGGAUUGAAUUUUCAAAAUAGAUGAUAUUUUUUUGUGUUAAAAUUUUAUUCGUUGUUUGAAAAAAAAAUUUAAAUCAUUUUCUUAGAAUUAUUUUUAGUGAAACAAAUAUAUCAUAAAUAUAUUUGUUAUAAAAUAUUAUAUUAAUAUUUUCUUUUAACAAUUAAAAUAUAUUUUGUGAUAAGGUAAUAUUUUAUAAUAAUUAAUAUCAUAUAUACUUAAUAAUAAAUCAUGUCUAAUUAAAAUUUAAUUUCAAUUAAAUAUAUUAAUAAAGCUACAUUUAAUCAUAUUUUAUAUAAUUAAAAUAUUAAUAUAAAUAUUUUUCAAUAAUAUAUUAAAGAAUAUUUAAAAUUUAAAUUUAUUAUUACUAAGAUUAAUUAUUAAAACAAAAAUGUAAUAUUAAAUAAUUUAUCCAAUGAUAAGUUAUAUUAAUAAUUUAUUAUAUUAUUAAAUAUAAAUAAUUAAAUAUGUAUGUUUAAUAAUAUUAUGUUAUAAUAUUUAUUACUAAUAUUUUAAUAUUUUUAAACAACCAUGUUUUAAAGAUGGUGGUGAUGGUGAUGGUGCAGGCCCCCUUGUUAAAAUUACAAUAUUUUUAAGUGGGAUGCAUGUAAUAUAUUGUUAGGGUUUUAGAGUAUGUGGUCUUUAAAAGGGUUAAAUUAUAUAUUUAUAUAAUAUGAUUAUUGUUUAUAAACAUAAUAUUGUAGAUAAGUUUAUAUGUAUGUCAAUAUGUAUCCUACUCUAAGGUUAAUAUGUAUUUUUUAGAUGUGGGUUUACCUAUAUAAUAGUAUGAAUCCAUCAUGUGGUCUCAUGAAAUAUACAAACACAUAUCGUGCGAACACAAAGUACGAACAAUAAAAAAUACAAAUCAAGACCCAAUUGAAUAAUUGAAUAACGGAUAGGUAAUAAUGAAUAUCAUAACAUUUACUAUCCCCUCUUUUCUAGUGAGUUAUUGUUUAUGAUAAAUUUGCAACAAAUGUUUUUAUCAUUAUUUUGUUGGUAAAUGAUAAUAAGAUUAAACAUUACUUUCUUAAGCUCCUUCAAUUCUUUGGACGUUAGCGAGUAAACUUGAGCUUCAGCAUUCCACAAACACCUUAAUUUGAAGACACAGUUCUCUCAUACUAAAAACGACAUGGACGUUUACCUUGUAAUUAGAGAUUUGGGCUCAUUGUUGGGUUAUUAAUGAUACGGGGAUGGAGAGCUUUAAACUGGGUAUGGUUGGCCCCAAAGAGGCUCGAAACGUGCUUGAGACUAGAGGUGAUCAAGGGCCGGGUUAGGCCCAGUCUAGAAAAAAAAUUAGGCCCAUUUUUUAGAUUUGAACUCGGCUCGGCUCAAAAUAUAAGCUUAAAAAUUUGUCUAAGUUCAGUCCGAAAGAAAAUUGUUAAGCCCAAGCUCGACCCAUAUUAAAUUUUACAACACCAAAAAAGUAUAUUUAAAUAAAAAUAAAAUAUAUAUAUUUAAUAUAUAAUUCGGGCCGAGCUGAACUCGGGCCAAAAAAGUUUUACUCGGGGCUGGUCCGUUUUCUAAACAGACUUCGUUUUUUUUGCCAAAAUCCAUAUUUUUACCCGAAUCUUCCUAUUUUUUGGGGUGUGCCGUCGGGCCGAACUGGGUAACCGAACCAAUGAUCACCUCUGUAAUCACUGAAUUUUGUCCGGGAAUAACUUUCGUUAAAAAAAUUUUAAAAUUAAAAAAAAAUUAACUUUUUUGCUUUUUGACCCCUAAACUUUUCUAAAAUUUCAUUUUAACCCCUAAACUUUCUCAAAAUUACAGUUCAACCCCUAAACUUUUCUAAAUUACAUUUUGACCCCUAAAAUUUCUUAAAAUUACAUUUGGACCCUUACACUUUCUCAAAAUUACGUUUCGGCCCCAAAAUUUUUGCUACAUUUACAAAUUGGUCCUUCUGUCAGAAAAUCCCCAAUAAUCCGGCGGAUUUCGUGCACCUGCCCCACUAUUUCCGGCAGCCGGCCUAGGGCAUGGCCUUCCCCACCUGCUACCUGCAAACAAGAAGCAAAAUCAACUAUAAAAAGGAGUUUAAACUCCAAAAAUCGGACCCCCACCCACGAAAAAAAUAAAAAAAAAAAACUUGAAAGAAAAAGAAAAAAGCUUUGAGAAAGAAAAAGAAAAGGAAAAGAAGAGAGGGGAGAAGGAGAGGCCGACCAUCGGCGAGCCACCGGAGGAGGCGACGGCAGCAGCGGCAUCGACGGCGGCGUAGAAGACCGAACGGAGAAGAAGAAGAAGAAGAAAAAAAAAGAAAGAAGAGAAAGAAAGAAGGAAGAAGAAGAAGAAAGAAACAAAAAAAAAAGAAAAUAUUUUGUAAUAGUCGGCCCGGCCCGACUCGACCUGCACGACCCGUGACCCGACCCGACAGCACCAGCAACCUAGCAGGCCACGGUAGCAGCCCGGCGGCCCAAAGAGUAGCCCAAAAAGAAAAAAAGAAGAAGAACAAAGCAAAAAAAAAAAGCAGGCCAUUUUCAGCAGGCCCAGUGCAGCCCAGCAGACCCAGCGAACCCAGCAGGCCAGGCCCACACGCAAGCAGCCCAACAGAAAAAAAGGGAAAGAAAAAGAAAAGAAAAAAGAAAAAAGAAAAAAGAAGAAGAAGGGGUUCAAUUUGUAUUAUCCGUUCGGCGAAGCUCGUGUUUUGAGGAUUUUUUUUCGGUAAUUUUAUUUUUUAAUUUUAAUUUAAUGCUCGUAUUUUUUUUAAAUAUUAUUAGUAUUUUAUGCAUUUUUAUAUUUUGGCAUUUAUAUUUUUAAUUUAAUUUACUUCAAUUUUUAUUUUAUUUUAUUUUAAAUAAUUUUAAUAAAUGAGGCAACGAAUCGAUUUAACAUAAAAUCGUUGAUUUCAUUGCUAUGUUGGGUGAAUAUCAUCGGUUUGUGUUAAACACGAUACACCCUUUUUAAAAAAAAGAAAAAAAUCGAAAAAAUUCUAAAAUUCUCAUUUUUUUAAAAUUCUCGUGUUUUAAUAGAAUCACGAUUAAAUAUUAAGUUGAAUCGAUUUGGCACUAAUUCGAUGAUUUCAUCUCCAUGUAGGGAUGAAUAUCAUUUAUUCGUGUUAAAUAUGGUACUUCUGAAAAAAAAUCGGGUUUCAAAAAUUUUCGUGUUUUCAAAAAUUCUCAUGUUUCAAAAAUCUUCGUGUUUUAAAAAUUCCAGUGUUUCAAAAAUUUUCGUGUUUUCAAAAAAAAAUUUCUCGUGUUUUUAAAAAUUCCCGUAUAUCGAAAUUUUCUUGUUUUCAAAAAAAAAAUUCCAUGUUUCAUAAAUUUCCGUGUUUUCAAAAAAAAAUUCUUGUUUUUCAAAAAUUUUCGUUUUUAAAAAAUUUGACCGUGUUUCAUAAAUUUUCGUAUUUCAAAAAAACCUCGUGUUUCAAAAUUUUCGGGUUUUUUUAAAAACAAUUCGUGUUUCUAAAAUUCUCGUAUUUUAAAAAAAAUCGUGUUUUCAAAAAAAGAAAAAGUUGUUGUGCUUUAAAAUUAUCGUGUUUCAAUCGGAUCACGAUUAAUAUUAAAUUGAACUCGUAUUUUUGAAAAUGAAAACAACGCGCGUUUAACGAGAUACCAAUUUUGGGCGUCGCGAGGGUGCUAAUACCUUCCUCGCGCGUAACCGACUCCCGAACCUUAAUUUUCUCUGAAUUUUUACGUGGACCUAAAAUUACCUCUUUUUAGAAAAGUUUAAAAAUGAAUUUUUCUUCUAAAAAGAGAAUUUUGUAGGUGUCCGAUCACACCUAAAAAAAGAUCGGUGGCGACUCCUUUUUUUCAAAUAAAAUCGAGAUUCAGUUUUCAAGUUUUUAAUAAUUACUUCGACAAGCGCCCGUGCGCAAAAUUUUUAAGUCGCUACAGCCUCUACUUGAGACAACAGGGUUUUGCAGGGAAUUCUUACAGGUUCGUUUCUGGCGACAAAAAAGAGCUCUUCACUAUAAGCAUACAAACAAGAGCCAAAACUAUGCCUCUUAGUGAUGAUAUUAGGCCUUAUGUUAUUCCUUUUCAACAUCAAACCGUCAACCGGUAUGGUAUGUUUUUUUUAUUUAAUCUGCAAUUUGUGAUAAUUCUUUGUUAUUUAUGUAUGGAAUUUAUUGGGAGGAAAUGCUGGAAAGAAUUCAUUUACGAGAAUUGGUCCAAGAUCAAGGGUGAACAUUACGGACCCUGAAAAAUAAGAGAAAUACUUAACAAAUUUAAUGACUUCCAGAAGAUACGUACCAAUCCACUGCUUAAUUUGCUUGUAAGCGGCCUUGUUAACCUCGAAGGAGACCGAUGGAGCAAGCAUAGAAAAAUCAUAACCCUUGCAUUUCAUCAAGAUAAGUUGAAGGUAUAGAAUAGUAAUGGGUACUCAAGACUUUAAAGAAAACAUCAUACUUAAGCCUAUGCUUUUCUGAUUUAGAAAUAAUUGGAUGCAGAAUAUGUUGCCAGCAUUUUAUCAAAGUUGUAGUGACAUGUUUAAGCAAAUGGGAGAAGAUGGUGUGUACAGAAGGAUACAUUGAGUUAGAUGUGUCGCCUUAUCUCGUAGAUUUGACAAGAGAUGUUAUUUCCCGAUCUGCUUUUGGAAGCAGCUUCGAAGAAGGCAAACGAAUUUUCCAAUUACUAGAGGACCAACUCGUUCUCACAAUCAAAUUAAUACAAACUGUUUACAUUCCAGGAUGGAGGUAACCGUCUACUUUAAUUUACUUGAAAAAGGUUGCAAAUGUUGGAAUUGGCUAAAUUCGUGUUUGUUUUCUUGAAGGUUUUUGCCCACAAAGACAAACAGGGAGGUGAAGAUGAAACACAAAGACAUAAAAGAGUCGCUCAGGGAAAUGAUAAAAAGAAGAAAGCAGGCAAUUAAAGCAGGGGAAGAGAGUAAUGAGGACUUGUUGGACAUACUUGUGGAAUCCAAUAUCAGAGAAAUGGAAGCAAAGAAUAUGGGGAUGAGCAUUGAGGAUGUGAUUGAGGAAUGCAAGCUGUUUUACUUAGCUGGCCAGGAGACCACUUCGGUCUUACUGGUGUGGACUAUGGUUUUAUUAGCAAGGUAUCCCGAUUGGCAAAGUAAAGCAAGAGAGGAGGUUUUGCAUGUUUUGGGUGACAGUAAACCUGAUGCUGAUGGCCUUAAUCGUCUCAAAGUUGUAAGUCCCUAGCAUGUCUCUUGAAGGCCCGAUCUCUGAGGUCGACAACUCAAAAACUUGGUUCUUUGUUUCGCUAAUUCUACAGUUAACAAUGAUAUUGUACGAGGUUCUAAGGCUGUACCCACCAGUGAUUGAGCUAGGACGUUCCGUUCCAAAAGAAAUAAAACUGGGAAAUUUGUUGUUACCAGCAGGAACAGACGUUUCGGUUCCAAUCCUGCAGAUCCACCAUGACAAAGAUCUUUGGGGCGACGCCGCACGGGAAUUUAAGCCACAGCGGUUCACGGAAGGGGUUUCCUAAGCAACAAAGAGUCAAGUCACGUUUCUGCCAUUCGGAUGGGGUCCUAGGAUCUGCAUUGGCCAAAACUUUGCCAUGAUGGAAGCUAAAAUGGCGAUGGCUAUGAUUCUCCAACGCUUCUGGUUUGAGCUUUCCCCUUCCUAUGCUUACUCUCCUUACAACAUGGCAACUCUUCGUCCACAGCAUGGUGCACAGAUAAUUUUACAUAAACUUGGCUGUAAUUGAAUUGUUAUGUAAGCAAAUCUUUGUGAAAAUAUAGUGUUUUAGUGUAUCGUCAACGUCUGUCUGUAAUGGUACAAUUCCGAUGCAUGAAUAGUAAAUUUUGAGAUGUUUGGUGAAGUCCGAAAUAAUAUGCAGAAAUUGAGUGUCUAUGGUGGACAUAGUUGAGGGACUAAUGUGGUAAUUAUCAAUCAAAUAAUUCGGUACAAAGACUUAUAUGGAAAUUAAAGCAGGGGGAGUUGAAAAUGACUACUCUGCUUUGGGCAUCAAUUUAGAAAGAUUUAAAGUACAAAUGUGUUAUUAGUUAAGGGAUUUGUUUUAAAGAGGGAAUGACAAUUAAACCUCAUGGUUGAUUUGUGGAAGGGAACCAAUGAUGGGAUGAUUACUCUUAGUGGUGAAAAAAAAACUAUUAAGGUGGUUAUUAUAGUUGUUAUCACCAGCCUAAAAUUUGAAUAGGUUCAGGUCGGAUUAUAUUGAGCUUGCAAGAUUAGUUCACGGACCAAACUUGCAUGAUAAUAGGUAUUCACAACAAGAUAUCUAUAGUUUCCAACAAAGUCACAUGUGAGAUCGUGCAUUAGAACCGCAUAAACAUGUUUUAUGUUUAGAAUAUGAUAUGUGUCUAUGUGUAUAGAAUCUACCUAAUAUAUCAUAUUAAUGAAUAGUAUCAAUUGCGGAGCCAAAAAAUUAUUUGUGAGGGGUCAGAAUUAAAUUGUAUAUUUUUACAAAAAUAAAAAUUAAAUUUCACUAUUUUAAUAGUUUAUUUAUUUUUAAUUUUUAAAUGAUUAAAUUAAAUUUUAUAAAUUUUUAGGAUCAAAGUAUAAUUUUAUCAUUACUAAUUUAAAAUUUUAUAAAUUAUAAAAAGUUUAUAUGAAAAGUUUUCUAUUUUAGGGUGGCCAAAGCCCCUGUCAACUUCUGACUCGAUCACUUGCGGUUAGUUGGGUAAAGACUCAAGAAAAAUAGCGGUGUGUUUGGAUGGACGGUGCGUUUACUUGCGGUUAGUGUAAAAAUAGCGGUGGCGGUGAGAUUAGAUACUAUAGCAACACUGUAGCGUGAGACAAAAAGUAAGUUAAACGCACUGCACUGCACUUAAUCGUCUAUCUAAACUCACCAUAAGUGUCUAAAAUAUGAUUUAAGUGAAGAUACGUGGGGUAGGUGUCAUGGAAAUGUAAAAAAAAAAAAGAAUCCUACUAAUGUAUGGGAUGUGUACAAUUGAAUGCAGGAGUGAAUCAUUUGGGUAACAUUUGGACAAGAAACAUAAUGAACAAAAUGAAAGGAGAGGAAGCUAGUAAUAAAAGAUUCUUUUGGGUUAUAUAAUUUGUUUGGCAUAUAUUUUUAUAAUAUUUAAAUAUCAUUUUGGAGUUGUUGAAUUAUAAUUUAUUUUUAUGUUUUAAAACAUAAUUAUUCUAUUUUUAGAGGUCAGAGUAGAGGUGAGCAUGAGUCGGGCUACUCGGCUCGGGCUGAAGGCUUGCGCAAAAUGUGAGAGAUUUGGGUAAAAAUAUAGGCCCGAAAAAUGAGUUUAGACAAAAAAAAAUAUAAGGCCCGUUGAAAAAACAGGCUAGGCCUUGGGUAAGGCAUUUUGGCCCCAGACCCGGCCCAACCCAAAUUCACUAAGGGCACGUUUGGUUCGCUGUAUUGGAAUAGAGGCGUAAUGUAAUAGAGGCGUAAUGGAAUAGAGACGUAAUAGCAAAUCAAUUGUUUGGUUGAAUGUAAUGGAAUAGAGGCGUAAUAGUAUUCUUAUAUUUGGUUGAAUGGAAUAGAGUUGUAAUAGCAUAAGGAAAAAAGUUAAAAUGACUAGAAUACCCUUAGCAGAAAUUUGUUUAGAUAAAUGAUUAUUGUUAUUGUUAUUAAAUUUUAAUAAGAUUAUUAAUAUCAGUAAUAAAUAAUUUAAUCAUAUUUUAACAUAAUUAUUAUUAAAUAUAAUUUAAUAAAAAUAUAUAAUUUAAUAAAAUUCUUAAUAUUAAAUAUUCUUAAUAUUAAAUUACUAAAAUCAUAAUAUAUAAUACUAUAAAAUAUAAUUUAACAUAAUUAUUAUUAAAUAUAAUUUAAUAAAAUUCUCAAUAUUAAAUAUAUUCUUAUAUGAAUUUACUAAAAUCAUAAUAUAUAAUACUAUAAAAUAUAAUUUAAAAUAAUUAUUAUUAAAUAUAAUUUAAUAAAAAUAUAUAAUUUAAUCUAAAGUUUGAAUGUGUAUUUACCUAGCAAAAAUCAAUGAACUCUCGUGUAACUAUAACCUUAAUAAUAUAUGAUGUAUAAUUAAUAUUUCGUGACUAAUUAAUAGCAUAGAGAUAAAUAUAGUAAUGACGAAUUUAUAGUAUACGAUUAAAAUGCUAAUAAUUUAUAGUAUACAAUUAAAAUAUUAUAAAUAAAAUAAUAGUAAAUGAUAUAUAAGAUAAAUUAACAUAUAAAUAAUUCAGAUAUGUAAAGGAUAUGGCUGAAUAUGGUUGCUCCAAUAAUAAAGGAUAUAUAAUAUAUCAUGGUGUUGUUUUGUUUAGAUAGUUCGGUAACUUAGGAGGGUAUGUAUGAAGAACACAAGUUGAUGCAGAUAGAAAGACGACAAUAUUACAUGAUUACAAUAUGAUAUAGUAUAUAUAUAUAAUUUAUGGAUUCCUUGCAAUCACGUGGGUUCUCUAGCCAUUUUAUUUAGCAUAUCCAGUGAUAUUAAGAUCCAGAAUUAUAAUACAACUAAAAUCUGUGCACACUUAUGGAUGAUCCAACAAAGCCUCAGUUGGCUUUAGGUUCCAAAUCUUGCAACCCACAAACCAUAUUUGCUGGCACUGCAACAUCAAUCAUCUUAGGAUAUGCCAAGUUAAGAUCUGUUGCACCAACAAAAACAGAGGAGAAAUUGGAAGGCGAUCCGAAAAAACCCAAGGAUGCUUUUUCUUUUCUUUUUUUUUUAUAAUCUUUAUAGACUGGUUAUAUUGAGCAUCAACUUACUUUCCAUGAUGUUUUUGAAAGUCUCUUACAAAAAGGGUAUUCAACAAAUAAUAUAAUCAGACAUAUUGAUAGGACAAAUUGAAACUAGUAUUCUAUGAUCAUAAUAAAGAGUAAUCUUUAAUCAAAUGCGUGAAGGUAUUGAGAUGUCAUGCUUUUUCAUGAUUUCCUGUUUUACCAUGGCGAUGUUCAUUGGAAUAGUCCCAUCCAAGAGAAUCAAACCAAUGCUCAGCAAGAAAUGUUCAAUGCAUAUGUAAUUUUAAUUACAGAAGUUAUAUGCAGCUUAUAUGAGUUCAAGAUCAUAAAAUACUUCAUGGACAAAAGGAAACCCUUUCUUAUCACUGAAAUGAAAAUAGGCACUCUUAAUUUUCUAUUGUCAAAAGUAGCAAGCCAUUUUCCAAAGAAAAGGGAAGAUGGAUGGUUCCAGAAAGAAUACCUCAUCCUUUGUCAAGUGUGGAUUAUAUAGCAUCUCCUCUCCCACAGUGGUUACCUAUAAUCAAUGAGGUUUAUAAAAUCGAGCAAUCAUUUAUAUAUGUAAGAAAUGAUAGGAAUAAAGUUUUAUAUCUUACUGAGAAUCCUUUGUAGUCAUGAGCUGGAUAUAGCAAUGUCUCUUUCGGUAAUGUAAAAAUCUGGAUCCAUGAAACAAAUAAGUCCAUAAAUUUUAUUCAAAUUUUGACAAUUACAAUAAAAUUUUGAGAACUCAAAGAAUGUGACCAUAAAAAGUCCCCUGUCCUUACCUGUGAAUGCACUGACUUGUAGAGUUGCUGUGAACUUCCACCCUGCAAAAUGCAUUAAUCAGUGCUAGUCAAUGGCUACUGAAUGUGGGAGCAUUAGAGAAAAUUAUCUUAAAAACUUAAGUAUAACAAAAUUAGACAAUGACAUCCAGAUGGAAAGAAAUUGCCAGCAUAUAAGACCAGCAUUUAUGUACUCACGACUGAAAAUCCUUUGCAAAAAGUAUAGCCCUGAUAGUUCAAACUUUUACUUCAAGGAUGAUUUAAUUACUGAUUAGUUUGCCAUGAGGCUUGUGAAUGACAAACACUUUAUGUGCAACCACAGUAACAAGGUAAGCACCAAUAAGUAGAAGACUAGACGAAUAGGUAACCAAGAGUUAGAGCUAAAACAGACAAACAGAGCUACUAUCCAAUGAGCUAAAACAUACAAACAGAGGUAUAUUUUAAUAAUGAAAAUAAUCGAUUGCCUUAAACACCAUAUAGUGUUCCAAUCAAUCAAAUUAUAGCAGGCAUUAAAACCUUUCCCUUUCGUUAAUUCACAACUAUUAGCUUCAUUAAUCAAAUCCUAUGUACAGUUGAUCGAUUGAAAGUGUAACAUUUCAAAGACGAAAUUUAAACGCAAAACUGGUUAACAUUGAAAUUACAUGUAAAUAUAACCUAAAAAAUCAAAAAAUUAAUCAUAUUUUCAGAUUUCAGGCCGAAAUGGAAUGAAAUGAAAGGUAAAUCCAUUUUUUCCCCAAAAAAACAAAAAUAAAGAAAUAAUAUUUCAAGAACAGAUCAUUAAAUUCAUGGUAUAUAUAAAGAAAUUUAAUUGAAAUCAAAGGAAUAGAAGAAGGGAAAAGCGUACUUGGAACCAUUGCUGCUACUCUCUGUUACUCUGUUACCUCAUACGAUUCGUUAAAGGGUUGUUAGGGUUUGUUAAAAGGUUGGUCAGGAUAGAAGCAUGAAAAGGAGGGAGAAGGUUGGAAGGAAAUGGGAAGAAAAAUGAAAAAAAGAAGAAGAUGCUGCAACGGCUUGGAGGGUAAAAGAGGACCGAUUAGGUAAUCCUUUCUUUUGGAAGGGAUUACAAAUCGGCGCUGCAUAAGGGAAAAUGGGGAAUCAGUGCGCUGCGUAAUAGGCCCGUAUUAAGGCAAUACAGCCAACCAAACAUGGUAAUCAGUGGGGCCACGAAUUAGGGGUGUAUUGGCUAAUCCAAUACACCCAACCAAACAUGCUCUAAAGGACAAAAAAAUUUGAUUUUUUAAAUAUUAUUUUCUCUCUAUUUUGCUAUCAUUUUACUAUUAUGUUGCUACUAUGUUAUUGUUAUUUUUGAAUAUUGUAUAAAACUUAUUUUAUUGUUAAUUUUGUUAUUAUUUUAAAGACAUUUGUUAAUUUUGUUAUUAUUUUAGAGACAUUUGUUUGUUAAGUUGCAUCUAUCUUAGUGUUAUUUAAGUAUACAUAUUUUUUAAAAUUUAUUUUCAAUUUAUUGGGAAAUAUUUAUUUUGAUGUUUUUAGUAUUUUGGAUGUAUUAUAUAUAUUAAAAUUAUAUAAAAAUUAAUAUGGCCGAGCCAGGUCAGGCCCAGAUUUUAGCAUUUUUAUUCAGGUCGGGCUUGAGCAAAAUUUUAAGCCCAUUUUUUGGGCCAAACCAGGCCUGGGCUUAGCAAAUGGGCCUAAAUUUUUAGUCAAGCUCGACCUAAACCCGAUCCGGCCCAUGCUCACCUCUAGAUCAGAGCUGCCCUCGCUUUGCAUUUCUUUGAGAUUCAGUCUUAUCUACUGUUGAUUGCCCACUCAAUGGAGGGUUGAGUAGAAAGAUUUGGUGAAGCAAGCUAAGCUAUCAAUCAAGGUUGGAGAAAGCUUAGGAGGUCACAAUGCAUAAUUAUUUAAAUGUAAUUCUAAUAUUUAAAUAAAAUUUAUUAAUAUAGUAUUAACAAGCCCUAAAUGUAAUGAUUAUAUACUAUUACAUUUUUAAGAAGAGAAAACAUGUUUGAACCUUAAAAACAUCAUUAUUAAAAAUGAUAAUUACAAAUUUUAAAAUAUAAAAAAUAUAAUUAAAAAUUAAUUUUAAACCCGAGCUGGAUAAAAUUCUAAUUUUAGAUAACGAUACUAAUAAGAAAUCAAUAUUAAAAUGAAAAUGAAAAGUAAUUUAAUAUAAUUUUUGAGUCUUGGGCAAAGGCACUCAAUGAAUGCUUGGAAAGAAAUAAUGCAACUUGGUGAUAGCUUUUGUUGGAGUAAUAUGCUCUUAUUAUAGUUUUAUGUUUUUAUCUUGCAAAAACAACAUAUUGGAGUUUUCGGCAUGAUUUUUUCUUAAUACUUUACAUGAAAAAUAAUAAUGGGACUUAAAUUGCUACAAUAUUACAACACAAAGUUACAAUAAGAGCUUAUAACUCAACAAAGGCUAUCAAUAAAUAAUCUCAGGCAAGCUAAAGAGAAAUGUUGAGAAUACCACCCGAAUAGUGACUGACUUUAAAAGUUGAAAACCCGAAGCUAUAUUAUCUCAAACGAAAUCAAACCAUAAACAUUAAAAUUUUCAAGUCUACUAGUUACUGUAAAAAAUUCAGCUCCAACAGACACCAAAUGAGCCUUUGAUCGAAGAAAGUACGAAAAAUAGUCUAGGUAAACCAAGCUUCCAAACUUACUUAUCUUAUCUUUAAUUUGCAGUGAAAUUCAAAAUUAAGAUUUUGUUUAUUUCACUUGGAACAACUUUCAAAAAAUUAUUUUUGAAAAAUGAAUUGGUUUUUCGAAAUAGAUGAUAUUUUAUUGUGUCAAAAUUUUAUUCAUUGUAGGAAAACUUUUUUUAAAUCAUUUUCUUAGAGUUAUUUUUAGUUAAAUAAACAUAACAUAAAUAUAUUUGUUACAAAAAAUUAUACUAGUAUUUUCUUUUGACAAUUAAAAUUUAUUUUAUGGUAAGACAAUAUUUUAUAAUAAUUAAUAUCAUAUAUAUACGUAAUAAAAAUCAUGUUUAAUUAAAAUUUAAUUAAAAUUAGAUGUAUUAAUAAAGCUACUCCUCCACAACCCGCAUCCGCAACAGCACCAGCACCAGCACCAGCACCAGCAUCAGCACCAUGGGACAACUAUUGGGUUUCCUCCACCUGCCUCUAUCGCUCCUCCUCAGUAUUACCCCCAAGCCUACCAGACCGUGCCGGGUAUUCUACAAAUAUGAAAAAACCUUCUUCUCUUUUUAUUAGCUUAUCGAAAUGAAGGAUUUUGAGAUUUGGGCUUUUGUUAGAUGGAUGGUUAAUGAUAUUUUUUAGAUGAAAGAUACAAGUUUUUUAAUGUUUUAGAAGAAAAGGUGUUUAAAUAUUAGGAGUUUUUUAGCAGAGAAAGAAGAUAAAUAAAUGCAUAGAGAUACAUUAGCAAUAUUAUUUGGAUUUGGUUGUCUAAUGUAAUGAAGAAUUUUUUAAGGGUGACCUGAGUAGGUGUGGCAAGAUUCAAAGUUUUUUCUAUUAUAGCAGAUAUAUAUAUAUUAAUGGUUUAAGAAGACUAGAAGUCGGUUUCAAAGGAAGAUGAGAAAUAAAAGCAUUUAUAUAUAUGAUAUGUCAUUAAUUCAUAAACCAAAUAUAUAAAGUAUGUAAAAGUGUCAGGGGUUAAUCAUGGUGUUUUGACAAUCCGGUAACCUUCAACUUGAAGAAAACCUUAGGUUUCAAAAAUUUAUGUGAAGAGUUAGAAUGGUAUGCUUCAUGGAUCUGAAUAACUAGAACAGUGUAAGAGUGGUAUAUUGUGUCAAGUUUGGUUUCUUGUAUAUAAUUGUAUCGAAAACAAUGUUACAUGAGUUAAAAUGAAUGUUCAUCCAAUUUAACAAAGCCUGCAUUAUGUUGAUCAAAAUUUUUAAUUCAUGUUGAGGUUUCUUCCGUGAUAUCUUUGAUGUCAAGGUUAUGAUGUUGCUGAAGGGACACCUGUAAGAGAUAAGCCACCGUGCUGUGGCAUUGGAUUCGGAUGGUUCUUGUAAGUGUACAUAGUUUUCUUUGUUUUUAAAGAGUUCUUUACAUAUGAAGUAAAACAAGUAGCGACUUGAUGGAUAUGUCAUUAAGCUUUAACUUAAGCAAAUCAUUUUCCUUCAUCUCUAAUUGCCAUUUCUUUAAAAGAAAAAGAGGAAGUUUUGUAGUUUACAGUUUGGACAAAUGGAAGUUAAUAUAAUGCACUAUUUGGAUGGACUAUGGAGAUAUCCAAUCAUAUUGGAUGAGUUAUAAGAAACCUGUGAGUUCAUAUUGGGUUUACUUUAUAUCAUAAUUAGAUUGUUGAGCUGGCUGUCAUACUUAGAUGGUAUUUCACGUUGCUACUUGUUAAACUAUACCACUUUCACAUUCAUACGUGAAAUGGCUGGGAUUUAGUGCCAUUCUACUUAGCAGCCUCGUGUAAUACACAGGUGAAAUGUUUAUGUCUUCAUGUCACCUUAAAGUUCCCAUUUCCAUGACGGUAUUGUUAAGUAAAGACUGGUACAUACCCCAAAAUACGGAAAUUGUUUUGGAUGUAUACUAUACUUUACCAUGCAUGAUUUUUUACAAGUUUGCAUGGUAUUUUAUCAUUAUAUUGGUCUUUAUUUUCUAUACUCGCAGCUUCCAUUAAUAUAUUUUUAUGAAUUUUAUCAUUAUGCUGGUUUGAAGGUUCAUCAUUGGUUUCUUCAUUGGGGGCCAUCCCUGGUAUAUUGGAUUCUUUGUUUUACUUUGUGCAAGGAUAGACGACAGAGAGAAAGCAGGAUAUAUUGCAUGCACAAUUGCCGUGAGUAUCUUUUCUAUCAUUAUUUUUUUCUUUUCCAAUUUUAUGAAAGCCAUCCUUCCUGCCUUGUAUUGAUCAUCAAUUUAACCAUUAUAUAUAUGUAUCUUAUGUAUUUGUACCAUGCUUUAUCUUCAAUGCAAAUAUAAGUUAAACUACAAAGAUUGGAUUGUUAAAAAAAGUUUAAAAUGUUAAAAAAAUUGAAAAUUUUGAUUUUGUAAGAAUGAUAGAAAACCAAGGCCAGUGCUUGCAUAUGUUAUCUACUACAUGCACAAUCGGGUCGAUGUCUGUAUAUGUUUCAUGUUUAGAAAUCGUGUUCAAUUGGGUUACGAUAUGUACAAUUGAAGUGUCAAUUUAUAAUUUCCUUAUCAAGAUUACACAUUUUUUUGUUAAUAUUCGGAAUCACUCAAUGGUUAUAAACCCUGAUUGGAUACUGUCCACAAAGUCUAGUUGGAACAUCCCUUGUAUUCUUUGUCCUUUCUAAGAACUUUCCUUUCCAUCAUUCUCGCUUCUGUUUUUUUUUUCUUCCCUCUACUUUAAGUCAUUAUCUAACGUAGAUAUCCCUUGUAUUCUUUGUCCUUUCUAUGGCAAUCGAGUCAAUUGAUGGCAAGCCAAAAAAACAAAAAGAGCAGCUAUCCUGUCUUACUCGAUUGCCAUCCCUCCUGUUAAACACCAUUAAGAAAAGGAAAAUUUUAGUUAAGCUUUAAAACAGCCAUGUUUUAACGAUGUUGGUGAUGGUGCUUGUGCAGGCCCUUCUUGCUACAAUUACAAUUAUUCUUAGUGCAACAAUUAAAGCUGGUGGGUGAUAAAGCACACCUCUUUUGACUGAGAGAUGUAUAGGUUCCCAAAUAAUAUGUAUAUGCUCCCCCCCCUCCCUUUAUUUUAUUUUAUUUCCAGUAAGUUAUUGUUUAUGAUAAUUUGCAACAAAUGUUUUUGUCAUUAUUUUGUUGGUGAAUGAUAAUAAGAUUAAGCUUUACUUUCUUAAGCUCCAAUUCCUUGGACGUUGGUGAUUUUUUUAUUAUAGUUGAGUCAUUGUAUGGUAUUAAUAUAAUUUAUGUCGCUUAAAAUUUAUAACUAAAAAUAUAAAAUUUAAAUUUUACUUCAAUUUAUUUGUAUUUAUAAAUGGUUAAUUCAAACUUAUUUUUUUCCUCAUUAUAUUUUAUAUUUAAAUUAACAUUUAAACUAUUUUUCAUUAGCAAUGUUGUUAAGAAUUAUAUUUUUUAGCACCAACAUCAAACUUACUAAAAUUAAAUUUUUAACUAUUUAAAAAAAAUAUUUUUAGCUAUUUAUCAUCAUAGAGAAAAAAAGGUGACGUCACCACGCCUCAUGCUUCGACACCACAAACUAGACUCUCAUCACCCGUAUUUAUCAUCGAUUCAAAUUCCAGAACUACCUAAAAAUAUAUCUUCAAACUUCCUCUGGUUAAGUUCAUUGAUAGUCAACUUACUAUCAUUUCUAAAAAAAAAACAAAUAAAUUGGUUAAUAGUAAUCUCAAUGAUUCAAUUUUAUUCUUACCAGUAUCUGUCCUUUAGAAAGGGGCUUAUAAAAGGGGUAGAGGUGAGUAAACUUGAGCUUCAGCUUUCCACAAACACCUUAAUUUGAAGACACAGUUCUCUCAUACUAAAAAAGACAUGGAAGUUUACCUUGUAAUUAGAGAUUUGGUUUCAUUGCUUGUUGUUGGGUUAUUAAUGAUAUGGGGAUGCAGAACUUUAAACUGGGUAUGGCUGGCCCCAAAAAGGCUCGAAAGCUGCUUGAGACAACAGGGUUUUGCAGGGAAUCCUUACAGGUUCCUUUCUGGUGACAUAAAAGAGCUCUCAACUAUGAGCAGACAAACAAGAGCCAAACCUAUGCCUCUUAGUGAUGAUAUUGGGCCUUAUGUUGUUCCUUUUCAACAUCAAACUGCUAACCAGUAUGGUAUGUUUUUUUUGUUUAAUCUGCAAUUUAUGAUAAUUCUUUGUUAUUUAUGUAUGGAAUUUAUUGGGAGGAAAUGCAGGAAAGAAUUCAUUUACGUGGUUUGGUCCAAGACCAAGGGUGAACAUUACGGACCCUGAAAAAAUAAGAGAAAUACUUAACAAAUUUAAUGACUUCCAGAAGAUACAUACCAAUCCACUGCUUAAUUUGCUUGUAAGCGGCCUUGCUAACCUCGACGGAGACCGAUGGAGCAAGCGUAGAAAAAUCAUAAACCCUGCAUUUCAUCAAGAUAAGUUGAAGGUAUAGAAUAGUGAUGGGUAAUCAGACUUUACAGAAAACAUCAUACUUAAACCUAUGCUUUUCUGAUUUAGAAAUAAUUGGAUGCAGAAUAUGUUGCCAGCAUUUUAUCAAAGUUGUAGUGACAUGUUAAGCAAAUGGGAGAAGAUGGUGUGUACAAAAGGAUACAGUGAGUUAGAUGUGUGGCCUUAUCUCGUAGAUUUGACAAGAGAUGUGAUUUCCCGAUCUGCUUUUGGAAGCAGCUUCGAAGAAGGCAAACGAAUUUUCCAAUUACUAGAGGACCAACUCGUUCACAUAAUCAAAUUAAUACAAACUGUUUACAUUCCAGGAUGGAGGUAACCGUCAACUUAAUUUACUUGAAAAAGGUUGCAAAUGUUGGAAUUCGCUAAAUUCGUGUUUGUUUUCUUGAAGGUUUUUGCCAACGAAGACAAACAGGGAGAUGAAGAUGAAACACAGGGACAUAAAAGAGUUGCUUAUGGAAAUGAUAAAGAGAAGGGAGAAGGCAAUUAAAGCAGGGGAAGAGAGCAAUGAGGACUUGUUGGACAUACUUGUGGAAUCCAAUAUCAGAGAAAUGGAAGCAAAGAAUAUUGGGAUGAGCAUUGAGGAUGUGAUUGAGGAAUGCAAGCUGUUUUACUUAGCUGGCCAAGAGACCACUUCGGUCUUACUGGUGUGGACUAUGGUUUUAUUAGCAAGGUAUCCCGAUUGGCAAAGUAAAGCAAGAGAGGAGGUUUUGCAUGUUUUGGGUGACAGUAAACCUGACGCUGAUGGCCUUAAUCGUCUCAAAGUUGUAAGUCCCUAGCAUGUCUUUUGAAGGUCCGAUCAAUGAGGUCGACAACUCAAAAACUUUGUUUCUUUUUUCGCUAAUUCUACAGGUAACAAUGAUAUUGUACGAGGUUCUAAGGCUGUACCCACCGGUGGUUGAGCUAGAACGUUCCGUUCCAAAAGAAAUAAAACUGGGGAAUUUGUUGUUACCAGUAGGAACAGAAGUUUCGGUUCCGAUCCUGCUGAUCCACCAUGACAAAGAUCUUUGGGGCGAUGACGCACGGGAAUUUAAGCCAGAGCGGUUCGCGGAAGGGGUUUCCAAAGCAACAAAGAGUCAAGUCACGUUUCUGCCAUUCGGAUGGGGUCCUAGGAUCUGUAUUGGCCAAAAUUUUGCUAUGAUGGAAGCCAAAAUGGCGAUGGCUAUGAUUCUCCAACGCUUCUGGUUCGAGCUUUCCCCUUCCUAUGCUCACUCUCCUUACGGCAGGGCAACUCUUCGUCCACAGCAUGGUGCACAGAUAAUUUUACAUAAACUUGGCUGUAAUUGAAUUGUUAUGUAAACAAAUCUUUGUGAAAACAUAGCGUUUUAGUUUAUCGUCAAAGUCCGGUGUCUGUAAUGGUACAAAUUCGAUGCAUGAAUAGUAAAGUUUGAGAUGUUUGGUGAAGUCCGAAAUAAUAUGCAGAAAUUGAGUGUGGUAAUUAUCAAUCAAAUAAUUCGGUACAAAGACUUACAUGGAAAUUAAAGCAGGGGGAGUUGAAAAUGACUACUCUGCUUUGGGCAUCAAUUUAGAAAGAUUUAAAGUACAAAUGUGUUAUUAGUUAAGGGAUUUGUUUUAAAGAGGGAAUGACAAUUAAACCUCAUGGUUGAUUUGUGGAAGGGAACCGAUGAUGGGAUGAUUAUUCUUAGUGGUAAAAAAAACUAUUGUGGAGGUUAUUAUACUUGUUAUCAUCGGCUUAAAAUUCGAAUGGGUUCAAGUCGGAUUAUAUCGAGCUUGUAAGAUGAGUUCACGGAUCAAAUUUGCAUAAUAAAAAUACUUAAAUGAAAAAAAUUUCUAUUUUAGAGGGACCAGAGCCCCUACCAAUUCCCGGCUCAGCUACUAAACAAUACCCAUAUCAUAUAAAUAAAUACCACCAUAAAAAAAACUCAAAGAAAAACACUGACAAAUGAUAAAUAGAUAGAUGUUGGAUAAGUGUCCAAAAUAUGAUUUAAGUGAAGAUACAUGGGGUAGGUGUCACGGAAAUGUGAAUACAAGAAUACUACUAAUGGGAUGUGUACAGUUGAAUGUAGGGAGCAAAAAGAGGAGUGAAUCAUUUUGGUAACAUUGGGACAAGAAACAUAAUGAACAAAAUGGAAGGAGAGGAAGCUAGUAAAAGAAAUUUUUUGGGUCAUAUAAUUUGUUUGGCAUAUAUUUUUAUAAUUUUUAAAUAUCAUUUUGGACUUGAAUUAUAAUUUUUUUAUAUAUUAUCUUAAAAUUGUAUAAAUUUUAAGGAGUUAAAACAAAAUUAUUCUAUUUUUAGAUGGUUAAAGUAGAGAUGAUAAUGGGUUGAGCUAUUCGGCCCAGCCUGACGAUCCACCCGAAAAAUAGGAAGGUUUGGGUAAAAAUAUAGGCUUGAAAUAUGAAUUUGAGCAAAAAAAGAGGCCCGUUUAGAAAAUGGGCCGAGCCUCGGGUAAAACCUUUUGGGUCUAGACCUGACCUAAAUUAUAUAUUAAAUAUAUAUAUUUUUAUUUUUAAUCAAAUAUACUUUUGUUUUAUUAUUAAUUUGGUUAUUAUUUUAGUUCUAAUUUGUUUCAAUUUUAAUAUAACUACUUUUUAUUAUAUUUUCAAUUUGUGCAUUGUUUUAAGAAUUAUUUUAGUCUCAUUAUUUAUUUAUUUUUUAUUUUAAUAUUUGUUUUAAAAUUUUUUAUUUAUUGAAAUAAGCUAAAAAAAUUAAUAUGGGUUGGACCAGACCGGGCUCGGGCCUAGUAAUUUUCUUUUGGGCCGGACUUAAACAAAUUUUUAAGCCCAUAUUUUGAAUUGGGUCCUACACUAGAAAAUGGACCUAAAAUUUUGUAUUACCUUUAGGUCAGAGCUAUCCUCGUUUUGCAUUUCUUUGAGAUUCAGCCUUAUUUACUUUUGAUUGCCCACUCAAUAGAGGGUUGAGUAGAAAUAUUUGGUGAAGCAAGCUAAGCUAUCAAUCAAGGUGUGCAUAAUUAUUUAAAUGUAAUUCUAAUAUUAAAAUAAAAUUUUUAUUAAUAUAGUAUCAACAAGCAUUAAAUGUAAUCAUCAUAUACUAUUAAAUUUUCAAUAAGAGAAAACAAGCUUGAACUUUAAAAACGAUGUUACUAAAAACAUUAUCACAAAUCUUGAAAUAUAAAAAAUACUUUUUAAUAUAAUAAAAAAAUAAUUUUAAAACCGAGAUGAAUAAAAUUCUAAUUUUAAUUAAUGAUACCAACAACAAAUCAAUAUUUAAAUUAAAAUUUAUCUUAAUUUAAUAUAAUAAAAUUGGACUUGAAUAUUGAAUUUUUGAGUCUUGGGCAAAGUAGAGGUGCUCAUGGGCCGGGUUGGGUCGGGUUUGGGAAAAAUUUCGGCCCGCAUCCUAGGCUCGGGCUCGGCCCGACCCAAAUAUGGGCCUAAAAUUUUGUCUAGGCCUAGCCCGGCCCGGCCCAACUCAUUUUUUUUAAUAAACACCAAAAAUUUAUUUUGAAAAUAAAAAAAUAAAAAAAGUAUUUUAAAAAUAUUUUAAAAUUUUUAAAAAAUAUAUAUAUUUAUUAUAUAUUCGGGCCGGGCCAGGCCCGAGCCAAAAAAGUGGCGCCCAAGGCCCGGCCUGUUUUCUAAACGGGACUCAUUUUUUACCCAAACCCAUAUUUCGGGCCUAUAUUUCUACCCGAAUCUCUCAUAUUUAGGGCGAACCGUCGGGCCGGACCGGGCCGCCCGGCCAUGAACACCUCUAGGACAAAGUCACUCAAUGAAUGCAUGGAAAGAAAUAAUGCAACUUGGUGAUAGCUUUUGUUGGAGUUAUAUGCUUUUUUUUUACGUAGUGGAACUUUCGGUGGAUUUUCAAGUUUCAUGAACUUUAUACUCUAUGCUUUACGUGAAAAAAAAAAUUCAUUGGACUUAAAAGUCUACCAAAAGUUUCACUAAAAAAAAAACCAUUGCUACAAGAUUACAACAUAAAGUUACAAUAAGAGCUUAUAACUCAACAAAGGCUAUCAAUAAAUAAUCUCAAACAAAUUAAAGAGAAAUGUUGAGAGUACCACUCGAAUAGUGAUUAACUUUAAAAAUUGAAAACCCAAAGUUAUAAUAUCCCAAACGAAAUCAAACCAUAAACAUUAAAUUUUUCGAGUCUACUAGAUACUGCAAAAAAUUCAGCUCCAACAGACACCAAAUGAACCUAUGAUCGAAGAAAAUACGAAAACUAGUCUAGCUAAAUCAAGCUGCCAAACUUACUUUUUAUCUUAUCUUUAAUUUGCUGUGAAAUUCAAAACUAAGGUUUUGUACUUAGAACAACUUUCAAAAAGUUAAUUUUGAAAAAUGGAUUGAAUUUUCAAAAUAGAUGAUAUUUUAUUGUGUUAAAAUUUUAUUCGUUGUUUGAAAAAAAAUUUAAAUCAUUUUCUUAGAAUUAUUUUUAGUGAAACAAACAUAUCAUAAAUAUAUUUGUUAUAAAAUAUUUAUAUUAAUAUUUUCUUUUAACAAUUAAAAUAUAUUUUGUGAUAAGGUAUAUUUUAUAAUAAUUAAUAUCAUAUAUACUUAAUAAUAAAUCAUGUCUAAUUAAAAUUUAAUUUCAAUUAAAUAUAUUAAUAAAGCUACAUAUAAUCAUAUUUUAUAUAAUAAAAAUAUUAAUAUAAAUAUUUUUUUAAUAAUAUAUUAAAGAAUAUUUAAAAUUUAAAUUUAUUAUUACUAAGAUUAAUUAUUAAAAUAAAAAUGUAAUGUUAAAUAAUUUAUCCAAUGAUAAGUUAUAUUAAUAAUUUAUUAUAUUAUUAAAUAUAAAUAAUUAAAUAUGUAUGUUUAAUAAUAUUAUGUUAUAAUAUUUAUUAUUAAUAUUUUAAUAUUUUUAAACAACCAUGUUUUAAAGAUGGUGGUGAUGGUGAUGGUGCAGGCCCCCUUGUUACAAUUACAAUAUUUUUAAGUGGGAUGCAUGUAAUAUAUUGUUAGGGUUUUAGAGUGUGUGGUCUUUAAAAGGGUUAAAUUAUAUAUUUAUAUAAUAUGAUUAUUGUUUAUAAAUAUAAUAUUGUAGAUAAACUUUUAUGCAUGUCAAUAUGUAUCCUACUCUGGGGUUAAUAUGUAUUUUUAGAUAUGGAUUCACCUAUAUAAUAGUAUGAAUCCAUCAUGCGGUCUCAUGAAAUAUACAAACACAUAUCGUGCGAACACAAAGUACGAACAAUAAAAAGUACAAAUCAAGACCAAUUGAGUAAUUGAAUAGCAGAUAGGUAAUAAUGACUAUCCCCUCUUGUUUGAAUUUAUUUUAUUUCCAGUGAGUUAUCGUUUAUGAUAAAUUUACAACAAAUGUUUUUAUCAUUAUUUUGUUGGUAAAUGAUAAUAAGAUUAAACUUUACUUUCUUAAGCUCCUUCAAUUCUUUGGACGUUAGCAAGUAAACUUGAGCUUCAGCAUUCCACAAACACCUUAAUUUGAAGACACAGUUCUCCCAUACUAAAAACAACAUGGACGUUUACCUUGUAAUUAGAGAUUUGGGCUCAUUGUUAGGUUAUUAAUGAUACGGGGAUGGAGAGCUUUAAACUGGGUAUGGCUGGCCCCAAAGAGGCUCGAAACGUGCUUGAGACUAGAGGUCCAGGCAAAUUUUUAGGCCCAUUUUUUAGGCCUGGACUGGGCCCGACUCGAAAUAUGAGCUUAAAAAUUUGUCUAAGUUCGGUCCAAAAGAAAAUUGUUAAGCCUAAGCCCGGCCCAUAUUAAAUUUUACAACACCAAAAAACUAUAUAUUUAAUAUAUAUAUUUGAUUAAAAAGUAUAUUUAAUUAAAAAUAAAAAUAUAUAUUUAAUAUAUAAUUCGGGCCGGGCCGAACUCGGGCCAAAAAAGUUUUACUCGGGGCUGGUCCGUUUUCUAAACAGACCUCGUUUUUUUGUCAAAAUCCAUAUUUUAGGCUUAUAUUUUUACCCGAAACUUCCUAUUUUUCGGGUGAACCGUCAGGCCGGACUAGGUAGCCCAACCAAUGAUCACCUCUACUUGAGACAACAGGGUUUUGCAGGGAAUUCUUACAGGUUCGUUUCUGGCGACAUAAAAGAGCUCUUCACUAUAAGCAUACAAACAAGAGCCAAACCUAUGCCUCUUAGUGAUGAUAUUGGGCCUUAUGUUGUUCCUUUUCAACAUCAAACCGUCAAUCAGUAUGGUAUGUUUUUUAAUUUAAUCUGCAAUUUAUGAUAAUUCUUUGCUAUUUAUGUAUGGAAUUUAUUGGGAGGAAAUGCUGGGAAGAAUUCAUUUACGUGGAUUGGUCCAAGAUCAAGGGUGAACAUUACGGACCCGGAAAAAUAAGAGAAAUACUUAACAAAUUUAAUGACUUCCAGAAGGUACGUACCAAUCCACUGCUUAAUUUGCUUGUAAGCGGCCUUGUUAACCUCGAAGGAGACCGAUGGAGCAAGCAUAGAAAAAUCAUAACCCUUCAUUUCAUCAAGAUAAGUUGAAGGUAUAGAAUAGUGAUGGGUACUUAGACUUAAUUUACAGAAAACAUCAUACUUAAAUCUAUGCUUUUCUGAUUUAGAAAUGAUUGGAUGCAGAAUAUGUUGCCAGCAUUUUAUCAAAGUUGUUGUGACAUGUUAAGCAAAUGGGAGAAGAUGGUGUGUACAGAAGGAUACAGUGAGUUAGAUGUGUGGCCUUAUCUUGUAGAUUUGACAAGAGAUGUGAUUUCCCGAUCUGCUUUUGGAAGCAGCUUCGAAGAAGGCAGACGAAUUUUCCAAUUACUAGAGGACCAACUCGUUCUCACAAUCAAAUUAAUACAAACUGUUUACAUUCCAGGAUGGAGGUAACCCUCAACUUAAUUUACUUGAAAAAGGUUGCAAAUGUUGGAAUUGGCUAAAUUCGUGUUUGUUUUCUUGAAGGUUUUUGCCAACAAAGACAAACAGGGAGAUGAAGAUGAAACACAGACAUAAAAGAGUCGCUUAGGGAAAUGAUAAAGAGAAGGGAGAAGGCAAUUAAAGCAGGGGAAGAGAGCAAUGAGGACUUGUUGGACAUACUUGUGGAAUCCAAUAUCAGAGAAAUGGAAGCAAAGAAAAAGGGGAUGAGCAUUGAGGAUGUGAUUGAGGAAUGCAAGCUGUUUUACUUUGCUGGCCAGGAGACCACUUCGGUCUUGCUGGUGUGGACUAUGGUUUUAUUAGCAAGGUAUCCCGAUUGGCAAAGUAAAGCAAGAGAGGAGGUUUUGCAUGUUUUGGGUGACAGUAAACCUGAUGCUGAUGGCCUUAAUCGUCUCAAAGUUGUAAGUCCCUAGCAUGUCUCUUGAAGGUCCGAUCUCUGAGGUCGACAACUCAAAAACUUGGUUUCUUUGUUUCGCUAAUUCUACAGUUAACAAUGAUAUUGUACGAGGUUCUAAGGCUGUACCCACCAGUGAUUGAGCUAGGACGUUCCGUUCCAAAAGAAAUAAAACUGGGAAAUUUGUUGUUACCAGCAGGAACAGACGUUUCGGUUCCAAUCCUGCAGAUCCACCAUGACAAAGAUCUUUAGGGCGACGACGCACGGGAAUUUAAGCCACAGCGGUUCACGGAAGGGGUUUCCUAAGCAACAAAGAGUCAAGUCACGUUUCUGCCAUUCGGAUGGGGUCCUAGGAUCUGCAUUGGCCAAAACUUUGCCAUGAUGGGAACCAAAAUGGCGAUGGCUAUGAUUCUCCAACGCUUCUGGUUCGAGCUUUCCUCUUCCUAUGCUUACUCUCCUUACAACAUGGCAACUCUUCGUCCACAGCAUGGUGCACAGAUAAUUUUACAAAAACUUGGCUGUAAUUGAAUUGUUAUGUAAACAAAUCUUUGUGAAAAUAUAGUGUUUUAGUGUAUCGUCAAAGUCUGCCUGUAAUGGUACAAUUCCGAUGCAUGAAUAGUAAAUCUUGAGAUGUUUGGUGAAGUCCGAAAUAAUAUGCAGAAAUUGAGUGUCUUGAAUGGAUGUAGUAUUUAAUGGUGGACAUAGUUGAGGGACUAAUGUGGUAAUUAUCAAACAAAUAAUUGCAUAUGGUACAAAGACUUGUAUGGAAAUUAGAGCAGGGCGAGUUGAAAAUUACUACUUUGCUUCGGGCAUCAAUUUAGAAAGAUUUAAAGUACAAAUGUAUUAUUAGUUUAAGGGAUUUGUUUUAAAGAAGGAAUGACAAUUAAACCUCAUGGUUGAUGUGUGGAAGGGAACCAAUGAUGGGAUGAUUACUCUUAGUGGUAAAAAAAAAAACUAUUAAGGUGGUUAUUAUAGUUGUUAUCACCGGCCCAAAAUUCGAAUAGGUUCAGGUCGGAUUAUAUUGAGCUUGUAGAUGAGUUUGCAUGAUAAUAGGUGUUCACAGAAAGAUAUCUAUAGUUUCCUACAAAGUCACAUGUGAGAUCGUGCAUUGGGACCGCAUAAAAAUGUUUUAUGUUUAGAAUAUGAUACGUGUCUAUGUGUAUGGAAUCUACCUAAUAUAUCAUAUUAAUUAAUAGUAUCAAUUGCGGAGCCAAAAAAUUAUUUCUGAGGGGUCAGAAUUAAAUUGUAUAUUUUUACAAAAAUAAAAAUUAAAUUUCACUAUUUUAAUAGUUUAUUUCUUUUUAAUUUUUAAAUGAUUAAAUUAAAUUUUUAUAAAUUUUUGGGAUCAAAGUACAAUUUUAUCAUUUCUAAUUUAAAAUUUUAUAAAAUAUAAAAAGUUUAUAUGAAAAGUUUUCUAUUUUAGAGUGGCCAAAGCCCCUGCCAACUUCCGACUCGAUCACUAAACAAUAUAAAUAAAUAAAUACCACCAUCUAAAAGACUCAAGAAAAACACUCAACGAUAAAUAGAUAGAUGUUGGGUAAAGAUACGUUUGGAUGGGCGGUGCGUUUACUUGCGGUUAGUAUAAAAAUAGCGGUGGCGGUUAGAUUAGAUACUAUAGCAACACUGUAGCGUAAGACAAAAAAUAAGCUAAACGUACUGCACUGCACUUAAUCGCCCAUCCAAACUCACCCUAAGUGUACAAAAUAUGAUUUAAGUGAAGAUACGUAGGGUAGGUGUCAUGGAAAUGUAAAAGACAAGAAUCCCACUAAUGUAUGGGAUGUGUACAGCUGAAUGUAGGGAGCAAAGAGGAGUGAAUCAUUUUGGUAACAUUUGGACAAGAAACAUAAUGAACAAAAUGAAAGGAGAGGAAGCUAGUAAAAGAUUUUUUUGAGUUAUAUAAUUUGUUUGGCAUAUAUUUUUAUAAUUUUUAAAUAUCAUUUUGGAGUUGAAUUAUAAUUUCUUUUUAUGUUUUAAAACAUAAUUAUUCUAUCUUCAAAGGGUUAGAGUAGAGGUGAGCAUGGGUCGGGCUACUCGGCCCGAAAUGUGAGAGAUUUGGGCAAAAAUAUAGGCUCAAAAAAUGGACUUGGACAAAAAAAUAUAAGACCCGUUGAAAAAUGGGCCGGGCAUUGGGUAAGGCAUUUUUGGCCCUGGGCCCGGCCCAAUCCUAAUUCACUAAAGGACAAAAAAAAUUUGAUUUUUAAAUAUUAUUUUCUUCCUAUUUUGCUACCAUUUUACUAUUAUGUUGCUACUAUUUUGUUGUUAUUUUUUGGAUAUUGUAUAAAACUUAUUUUAUUGUUAAUUUUGUUAUUAUUUUAAAGACAUUUGUUAAUUUUGUUAUUAUUUUAGAGACAUUUGCUUGUUAAGUUGUAUCUAUCUUAGUGUUAUUUAAGUGUACAUAUUUUUUAAAAUUUAUUUUCAAUUUAUUGGGAAAUAUUUAUUUUGAUGUUUUUAGUAUUUUGGAUGUAUUAUAUAUAUUAAAAUUAUAUAAAAAUUAAUAUGGCCGAGCCGAGUCAGGCCCAGAUUUUAGCAUUUUUAUUCAGGUCGGGCUUGAGCAAAAUUUUAAGCCCAUUUUUUGGGCCAAACCAGGCCUGGGCUUAGCAAAUGGGCCUAAAUUUUUAGUCAAGCCCGACCUAAACCCGAUCCGGCCCAUGCUCACCUCUAGAUCAGAGCUGCCCUCGCUUUGCAUUUCUUUGAGAUUCAGUCUUAUCUACUGUUGAUUGCCCACUCAAUGGAGGGUUGAGUAGAAAGAUUUGGUGAAGCAAGCUAAGCUAUCAAUCAAGGUUGGAGAAAGCUUAGGAGGUCACAAUGCAUAAUUAUUUAAAUGUAAUUCUAAUAUUUAAAUAAAAUUUAUUAAUAUAGUAUUAACAAGCCCUAAAUGUAAUGAGUAUAUACUAUUACAUUUUUAAGAAGAGAAAACAUGUUUGAACCUUAAAAACAUCAUUAUUAAAAAUGAUAAUUACAAAUUUUAAAAUAUAAAAAAUAUAAUUAAAAAUUAAUUUUAAACCCGAGCUGGAUAAAAUUCUAAUUUUAGAUAACGAUACUAAUAAGAAAUCAAUAUUAAAAUGAAAAUGAAAAGUAAUUUAAUAUAAUUUUUGAGUCUUGGGCAAAGGCACUCAAUGAAUGCUUGGAAAGAAAUAAUGCAACUUGGUGAUAGCUUUUGUUGGAGUAGUAUGCUCUUAUUAUAGUUUUAUGUUUUUAUCUUGCAAAAACAACAUAUUGGAGUUUUCGGCAUGAUUUUUUCUUAAUACUUUACAUGAAAAAUAAUAAUGGGACUUAAAAAUCUAUCAAAAGCUUCACCAUAAUAAUAAUAAUAAUAAUAAUAAUAAUAAAUUGCUACAAUAUUACAACACAAAGUUACAAUAAGAGCUUAUAACUCAACAAAGGUUAUCAAUAAAUAAUCUCAGGCAAGCUAAAGAGAAAUGUUGAGAAUACCACCCGAAUAGUGACUGACUUUAAAAGUUGAAAACCCGAAGCUAUAGUAUCUCAAACGAAAUCAAACCAUUAACAUUAAAAUUUUCAAGUCUACUAGCUACUGUAAAAAAUGCAGCUCCAACAUACACCAAAUGAGUCUUUGAUCGAAGAAAGUACAAAAACUAGUCUGGGUAAACCAAGCUGCCAAACUUACUUAUCUUAUCUUUAAUUUUGCAGUGAAAUUAAAAAUUAAGUUUUUGUUUAUUUCACUUGGAACAACUUUCAAAAAAUUAUUUUUGAAAAAUGGAUUGGUUUUUCGAAAUAGAUGAUAUUUUAUUGUGUUAAAAUUUUAUUCGUUGUUGGAAAACUUUUUUUAAAUCAUUUUCUUAAAGUUAUUUUUAGUGAAACAAACAUAACAUAAAUAUAUUUGUUACAAAAAAAUUAUAUUAGUAUUUUCUUUUGACAAUUAAAAUUUAUUUUAUGAUAAGACAAUAUUUUGUAAUAAUUAAUAUCAUAUAUAUAUACGUAAUAAAAAAAUCUUGUUUAAUUAAAAUUUAAUUAAAAUUAAAUAUAUUAAUAAAGCUACAUAUAAUCAUAUUUUUUAUAAUUAAAAUAUUAAUAUAAAUAUUUUUCAAUAAUAUAUUAAAAUAUUAAAAUUUAAAUUAUUAUUACUUAAAUUAAUUAUUAAAAUAAAAAAUUUAAUAUUAAAUAAUUUAUUCAAUGAUAAGUUUUAUUAAUAAUUUAUUGUAUUAUUAAAUAUAAUUAAUUAAAUAUGCAUAUUUAAUAAUAUUACGUUAUAAUAUUUUAAUAUUCUUAAACAGCCAUGUUUUUAAGAUGCUGGUGAUGGUGAUGCUGCGGGCCUCUCUUGUUACAAUUACUAUAAUUUUUUGUGCAAUAAUUGAAGUUGUUGGGUGGUCAAGCAAACCUCUUUUGACUGAGAUGCAUAUAAUAUACCCGCAUGUCCCCGCCUCCUAAAAUUUAAAUUUGUUAUUUGAAUCUUUAAAUUUUUUAAUAUAAUAUACCCGCAUGUCCCCGCCUCCUAAAAUUUAAAUUUGUUAUUUGAAUCUUUAAAUUUUUUAAAAAUUUUAAAUUCAUAAAAGUAAAAUUAUACUUUGACCCUCUAAAAUUAUAAAAAUUUAAUUAAUCUUUUAAAUUCAUUGGGCCCCUAAUAUAUUGUUCAGGCUUCACCCUUGAUACUGAUGUUGACUAUUUUAGAGUAUGUGUCUUCUUUAACAGGGUUAAAUUAUAUAUUUAUAUAAUAUAGUUAUUGUUUAUGGACGUGACAUCGUAACUAGGUUCUUAUGCAUGUCAACAUAUAUCCUAUUUUAAGGUUAACACGUAUUUUUAAAUGUGAAUUCACCUAUAUAAUGGUAUGAACCAUCAUGCAGUCUCAUAAAAUAUGCGAAUAUAUGUCGUGCGAACACAAAGUACAAUCCACACAGAAUACGAAUUAAGACCCAAUUGAAUAAUCGGAUACGAAUCAGUAAUAAUGAAUUUCAUAACAGCCACCAACCCCUCUUUUGUUUUAAUUUAUUUUAUUUCCAGUAAGUUAUUGUUUGUGAGAAUUCACAACAAAUGCUUUUGUCAUUAUUUUGUUGGUAAAUAAUAAUAAGAUUAAACUUUACUUUCUUAAGCUCCUUCAAUUCUUUGGAAGUUGGUGGUUUUUUAUUCUAAUCUUAUUUUUUUUAUUAAUUUCUUUUUUUAUAAUAAAUGUGUUUAUAGAUCAGGUUGGAUUAUAAUUGAAUCAUUGUCUGGUAUUAACAUAAUUUAAAUCGAUUAAAAUUUAUUCGACUGGAAAUAUAAAUUUAAAAUUUUACUUCAAUUUAUCUUAAUUUAUAAAUUGUGAAUUUAAAUUUAUUUAUUUUCUCUCAUUAUAUUCAGUUUUUCGGAUCAUAUUUGGCCCAGAACAAAAACUAGAACAAAAAAACAAAUAUAUAUGUUUUCCAAAAAUUAAAUUGUUAACUUUAAAAAAAUAUAUUUUUAGCUAUUUAUCAUCAUAGAGAAAAACAAAUAAGGUCACCUCGCCUUAUGCUUCAACACCUCAACCUAGAUUCUCAUCACCUGUAUUUAUCAUCGAUUCAGAUUUUUAUUUUUACUAUAUUCUAGAUCUACCUAUAAAUAUAUCUUCAAACUUCCUCUGGUUAAGUUCAUUCAUAGAUAGGUGAGUAAACUUGAGCUUCAGCUUCAACAAACACCUUAGUUUGCAAUUCUCUCAUACUAAAAAUAUGGAAGUUUACCAUGUAAUUAGAGAUUUGGUCUCAUUGCUUGUUGUUGGUUUAUUAAUGAUAUGGGGAUGGAGAGCUUUAAACUGGGUAUGGUUGGCCCCAAAGAGGCUCGAAAGGUGCUUGAGACAACAGGGUUUUGCAGGGAAUCCUUACAGGUUCCUUUCUGGUGACAUAAAAGAGCUCUUAACUAUGAGCAGACAAACAAGAGCCAAACCUAUGCCUCUUAGUGAUGAUAUUGGGCCUUAUGUUGCUCCUUUUCUUCAUCAAACUGUCAACCAGUAUGGUAUGUUUAAUUAUUAUUUAAUCUUCAAUUUAUGAUAAUUCUUUGUUAUUUAUGAAUGGAAUUUAUUGGGAGGAAAUGCAGGAAAGAAUUCAUUUACGUGGAUUGGUCCAAGACAAAGGGUGAACAUUAUGGACCCUGAAAAAAUAAGAGAAAUAUUUACCAAAUUUAAUGACUUCCAGAAGGUGCGUACCAAUCCACUGCUUACUUUGCUUGUAAGCGGCCUUGUUAACCUCGAAGGAGACCGAUGGAGCAAACAUAGAAAAAUCAUAAACCCUUCAUUUCAUCAAGAUAAGUUGAAGGUAUAGAAUAGUGAUGGGUACUUAAGACUUAAUUUACAGAAAACAUGAUACUUAAAUCUAUGCUUUUCUGAUUUAGAAAUGAUUGGAUGCAGAAUAUGUUGCCAGCAUUUUAUCAAAGUUGUUGUGACAUGUUAAGCAAAUGGGAGAAGAUGGUGUGUACAGAAGGAUACAGUGAGUUAGAUGUGUGGCCUUAUCUUGUAGAUUUGACAAGAGAUGUGAUUUCCCGAUCUGCUUUUGGAAGCAGCUUCGAAGAAGGCAGACGAAUUUUCCAAUUACUAGAUGACCAACUCGUUCUCAGAAUCAAAUUACUACAAACUGUUUACAUUCCAGGAUGGAGGUAACCCUCAAUUUACUUGAAAAAGGUUGCAAAUGUUGGAAUUGGCUAAAUUCGUGUUUGUUUCCUUGAAGGUUUUUGCCCACAAAGACAAACAGGGAGGUGAAGAUGAAACACAAAGACAUAAAAGAGUCGCUCAGGGAAAUGAUAAAAAGAAGAGAGCAGGCAAUUAAAGCAGGGGAAGAGAGCAAUGAGGACUUGUUGGACAUACUUGUGGAAUCCAAUAUCAGAGAAAUGGAAGCAAAGAAAAAGGGGAUGAGCAUUGAGGAUGUGAUUGAGGAAUGCAAGCUGUUUUACUUUGCUGGCCAGGAGACCACUUCGGUCUUACUGGUGUGGACUAUGGUUUUAUUAGCAAGGUAUCCCGAUUGGCAAAGUAAAGCAAGAGAGGAGGUUUUGCAUGUUUUGGGUGACAGUAAACCUGAUGCUGAUGGCCUUAAUCGCCUCAAAGUUGUAAGUCCCUAGCAUGUCUUUUGAAGGUCCGAUCAAUAAGGUCGACAACUCAAAAAUUUGGUUUCUUUUUUCGCUAAUUCUACAGUUAACAAUGAUAUUGUACGAGGUUCUAAGGCUGUACCCAUCAGCGACUGAGCUAGGACGUUCCGUUCCAAAAGAAAUAAAACUGGGAAAUUUGUUGUUACCAGCAGGAACAGAAAUUUCGGUUCCGAUCCUGCUGAUCCACCAUGACAAAGAUCUUUGGGGCGAUGACGCACGGGAAUUUAAGCCAGAGCGGUUCGCGGAAGGGGUUUCCAAAGCAACAAAGAGUCAAGUCACGUUUCUGCCAUUCGGAUGGGGUCCUAGGAUCUGCAUUGCCCAGAAUUUUGCUAUGAUGGAAGCCAAAAUGGCGGUGGCCAUGAUUCUCCAACGCUUCUGGUUCGAGCUUUCCCCUUCCUAUGCU